GUCACCGACCGGACGGUCGCGAGAGAGACUCCUGGCGAACAGCCCACGGUGUCCUCCUCGAGGAAAGUCCGGGCUCCAUGGACAGGCUGCCAGGUAACGCCUGGGCGCGUGGCUCACGCUCCACCGAGCUGCGCGACGGAAAGUGCCACAGAAAACACACCGCCGAUGGCCCGUGGGUUUCCCUCGCGCGGAUCAGGCAAGGUUGAAAAGGCGAGGUAAGAGCUCACCGCGCAUCUGGUAACAGAUGCGGCACGGUAAACCCCAGCCGGAGCAAGGCCAAAUAGGCAGCGAGAGGCCGUCCACCUCGAUCGAGACGCUGCGGGUAGGCUGCUAGAGGGCGUGGGC
This 345-nucleotide RNase P RNA is filed under the name Gemmatimonadota bacterium. RNAcentral's name for it is "partial RNase P RNA component class A". It matches the Rfam family "Bacterial RNase P class A", at positions 1 to 293 of the family's 367-position model. Rfam says of the family: Ribonuclease P (RNase P) is a ubiquitous endoribonuclease, found in archaea, bacteria and eukarya as well as chloroplasts and mitochondria. Its best characterised activity is the generation of mature 5'-ends of tRNAs by cleaving the 5'-leader elements of precursor-tRNAs. Lineage: Bacteria; Pseudomonadati; Gemmatimonadota. The record is from RNAcentral.